Molecule: long non-coding RNA, 651 nt
Filed under: Trifolium pratense (red clover)
Lineage: Eukaryota; Viridiplantae; Streptophyta; Magnoliopsida; Fabales; Fabaceae
Description: long non-coding RNA (TPRA_LNC002864)
Source: RNAcentral
AUAUUAGAUAUAUAAAUUAUUUUAAGAUUUAAAUUGAUAGGGACAUCGUACUAAUAUUAUAUGUGCAGGAGUCGGAAUUCGAAUCUCGGAUCAAAUACGGAUCCAGACAUAAAAUUUUGGUCUGGCCAAAAUCUUAAAGAAACUGCAUUAUAUUGAAAACAAGAUAUAAUAUUGUUAAGGGAAAUACAUUUACAAUGAAAAUCGUCUACUAUUCAUUUCUUGAAAAUGAGUUAAAAUAAUAUCAUUGUCAAUUGUUCCGAGAACAUCUUUUAAUUAAAGAAGAGAAGAAUUGACAAUCACAAUUGAAAAUCAAAAAGAAAAGAAAGGGAGAGGAUUGAUUCUCACCUGAAUUGAAUCUGACGAAGGAGAAGGAGGAAGAAUGGGAAGAACGGUGUAUGGAUGACAAUGGCGAUGGUGGACUGGACAGUGGUUCAACAUUUCAAGGAGUGAAGGAGAGGAGUCGAUAAGCAGUGAAAGACACCCGUACCAAGCUCGGACUAUAAUUUUUUUUUUUUGACAAAUUUGACAAAUGCUUAUUUUAAAAUUAGUGAAUAUUUGAGAAAUGAAAAAUUAAGGGUUUGAACAUGCAUCAAUUAUGUAUGAGGUUCAAAUCCCGGCUCCUGCAUAAUACAUGCGACGUCCUUAACAAUU